CCUACGGGUGGCAGCAGUGAGGAAUAUUGGUCAAUGGGCGAGAGCCUGAACCAGCCAAGUCGCGUGAGUGAAGACGGUCCUACGGUUUGUAAACCUCUUUUGUCAGGGAGCAAGGAGCGCCACGAGUGGUGCGGCGAGAGUACCUGAAGAAAAAGCAUCGGCUCACUCCGUGCCCGCAGCCGCGGGAAUACGGAGGAUGCGAGCGUUAUUCGGAUUUAUUGGGUUUAAAGGGUGCGCAGGCUGAAGCGGCAAGUCAGCGGUAAAAUUGCGGGGCUCAACCUCGCCGAGCCGUUGAAACUGCUCGUCGAGAGUGGGCGAGAAGGAGGCGGAAUGCGUGGUGUAGCGGUGAAAUGCAGAGAUAUCAGGCAGAACUCCGGUUGCGAAGGCAGCAUACCGGCGCCCAACUGACGCUCAUGCACGAAAGCGUGGGUAUCGAACGGGAUUAGAUACCCUUGUAGUC
This 460-nucleotide ribosomal RNA is filed under the name uncultured bacterium. Its description in RNAcentral is "partial 16S ribosomal RNA". It matches the Rfam family "Bacterial small subunit ribosomal RNA", at positions 338 to 795 of the family's 1533-position model. The record is from RNAcentral.